Molecule: long non-coding RNA, 1017 nt
Organism: Alnus glutinosa
Lineage: Eukaryota; Viridiplantae; Streptophyta; Magnoliopsida; Fagales; Betulaceae
Exons: 3
Source: RefSeq, a predicted model, not a curated record
GACUCACGACACACUCCCUCCACAUUCAGAUUUUUCCUCUCCUCUCCCCACACACACACACUCGGUCUCUCCUCCACCAAAACAGCAGCCCACACUUCCAUUUUCUUCUUUUCUCCUCCCUUGCUCUCUCAUCUCUUCUCAUCUUCAUGGUAGAAGCUUGGCUUGGCAUGGGUAUGGGCUGGAUUUCGUGGAGAAGGCAAAGAACAAGGGUUUGAUGGGCUGAAAUCUUAGGCAUGUAAGGUGGAGACUUUAAUCGUGUCCCAACAGCGAGUUCAAGGUAACUAGAACGUGGGGGAUAUUCGAGUCAAGAGUCCAAUGCAGCCAGGGAUACAUGCGCAUGCUCUUAUACUUGUGAAGGACCUAUCCAUGCUGCUCUUUUUUCUUCCAUUCAGCUUGAUGUUUUUUCCUUCUUCUUGUCUGUAAAACUAUUUGACUUACAUUACUCUGUUUCCUGGGUCCUUCUGAGACCGUUAGGGGGAGUAAUUUCUAUUACAGUUGGUUUUUAUUACUCUGUUUUACCCUUUGUCCAUUUGUGACAAAAAUGGGGAGUAAUCUUUAUUCUUUGGACUGGGAAUGUAUUUCCAAACCAGUCAAGUGAUUUUUGUCCCAGAAUGGCCAAAGGGGGAGUUUGUUAGUAUUUUGGCCUCAUUCUGUGUUUGGACAAAAUCACUUGUGUAAAGAUGCUGUAAACAGGGAUUCCACUUGUCAGAGCAUCUUCAGAAGACUCUGUACUGCGAAAAAGAUAGAAGAUUUCAGAUUCCCUAUCAGCUGUCCGAACGCCAUCUGUCCAUUGCUCCAUCCGUCCGGAUGGCGUGUCAUUCCGUCCAGAUGCCAGACAGACCAGCAUCAUCCGUCCGGAUGACGUAUCUUUCCGUCCGGACCCUCUACUGUAUCGAGAAGCUUCUGUUCCAGCUUGCAUCCGUCCGGACCUCUCAGCAUCCAGUCUAGACGUUCAUCAGUGAUCGAUCAGCUUCAGAUUCUUUCCAAGUUCAAAUAUGGGAAGAUUGAUACACCGUC